CCUANGGGUGGCAGCAGUCGAGAAUUUUUCUCAAUGGGGGAAACCCUGAAGGAGCGACGCCGCGUGGGGGAUGAAUGGCUUCGGCCCGUAAACCCCUGUCAUUUGCGAUCAAACCUUACGACCUAACACGUCGUAAGCUGAUAGUAGCGAAAGAGGAAGGGACGGCUAACUCUGUGCCAGCAGCCGCGGUAAUACAGAGGUCCCAAGCGUUGUUCGGAUUCACUGGGCGUAAAGGGUGCGUAGGCGGUCGGGUAAGUCUAACGUGAAAUCUCCGAGCCUAACUCGGAAACUGCGUCGGAUACUAUUCGGCUAGAGGAAUGGAGGGGAGACUGGAAUUCUCGGUGUAGCAGUGAAAUGCGUAGAUAUCGAGAGGAACACCAGUGGCGAAGGCGAGUCUCUGGACAUUUCCUGACGCUGAGGCACGAAAGCCAGGGGAGCAAACGGGAUUAGAUACCCUGNUANUC
RNAcentral lists this ribosomal RNA (464 nucleotides) under uncultured bacterium. RNAcentral describes it as "bacterial SSU rRNA". It matches the Rfam family "Bacterial small subunit ribosomal RNA", at positions 338 to 795 of the family's 1533-position model. The record is from RNAcentral.